GUGGUAGCCCUGCGCACGGAUAGGAUGUGAACCCCGCCAGGUCCGGAAGGAAGCAACGGUAAGCAUCUGAUUCCGGUGCCGCAGUAAGCUGCUACCCG
This 98-nucleotide signal recognition particle RNA is filed under the name Nitrospirota bacterium. RNAcentral's name for it is "Nitrospirae bacterium (hydrothermal vent metagenome) signal recognition particle sRNA small type". It matches the Rfam family "Bacterial small signal recognition particle RNA". From Rfam's summary of the family: The signal recognition particle (SRP) is a universally conserved ribonucleoprotein involved in the co-translational targeting of proteins to membranes. The record is from RNAcentral. Lineage: Bacteria; Pseudomonadati; Nitrospirota.